GGGGGAAUAUUGCACAAUUGGCGCAAGCCUGAUGCAGCCAUGCCGCGGGUAUGAAGAAGGCCUUCGGGGUUUAAAGUACUUUCAGUCGGGAGGAAGGUGGUAAGGUUAAUAACCUUAUCAAUUGACGUUACCGACAGAAGAAGCACCGGCUAACUCCGUGCCAGCAGCCGCGGUAAUACGGAGGGUGCAAGCGUUAAACGGAAUUACUGGGCGUAAAGCGCACGCAGGCGGUUGAUUGAGUCAGAUGUGAAAUCCCCGGGCUUAACCCGGGAAUUGCAUCUGAUACUGGUCAGCUAGAGUCUUGUAGAGGGGGGUAGAAUUCCAUGUGUAGCGGUGAAAUGCGUAGAGAUGUGGAGGAAUACCGGUGGCGAAGGCGGCCCCCUGGAAAAAGACUGACGCUCAGGUGCGAAAGCGUGGGGAGCAAACAGG
This 429-nucleotide ribosomal RNA is filed under the name Chloroflexota bacterium. Its description in RNAcentral is "Chloroflexi bacterium partial 16S ribosomal RNA". It matches the Rfam family "Bacterial small subunit ribosomal RNA", at positions 355 to 776 of the family's 1533-position model. The record is from RNAcentral. Lineage: Bacteria; Bacillati; Chloroflexota.